RNAcentral lists this unclassified non-coding RNA (387 nucleotides) under fungal sp. Its description in RNAcentral is "partial internal transcribed spacer region". The stretch from base 1 to 46 matches the Rfam family "Eukaryotic small subunit ribosomal RNA", at positions 1786 to 1831 of the family's 1831-position model. The record is from RNAcentral. Lineage: Eukaryota; Fungi.
AAGUCGUAACAAGGUUUCUGUAGGUGAACCUGCAGAAGGAUCAUUCAUGAAUUUGGCGUUUGCCUUUUCAUUUAUUUUUGCUAACUAUUUUUUUUUGGUUGGUACAUUGUAAAAAUAACAUUUUUUUGAGAACGCCAACCAGAGUGUUUGUCGGGAAUAGUUAAUUCCCAUCAUUCACUAGUGAUUUGUGGAGAAUAGUUAAUUCUCUAUACAUCUCACAGUGAUUGGAAAAGUUAUUUCCUAAAUCACAAGAGUUUAUUUGGCACAUAGACUCUAAAGGGUGUAACAACCUUAUACUGUGUAUUUUUAAUGUCUAAGCUGUUUUUAUAACAACACAAGACUUUUAGCAAGGGAUCUCUAGGCUCUCAUUUCGAUGAAGAACGCAGC